AGCAUAUGGUAAAAUUAGAACUGAUAUGCUGACAGUCUUUCAGAGAGAGGGACAUAUUAUCUUUAUCUCCACACAGGGCAGAAAGAAUCUGAAGGCUUCUGAGUAACAUUAUAAAUAACACAAAAUAUUGGCAGUAUCAUUAGGGAAUUUAAAAAAUGAAACUGAAAAGCAGCAUUUGCAUGGAUUAUUUCUAUAUAAAUUCACUCUGGAAAUGUGGAAAGAAAAAGAAGUGAGAAAAAAACCAUUCUCUCUCCAGAGCAGUUGAUUUAAUAUUUGUUUGAAAUGUACUUUCCCUUCAUGCCCUUCUUUACUUGCCAUUGUAAAGCAGAGAAAUAAUAUAUACAUUGCUUUAUUUUCUGUCUUCUACCUUAGAGUUUGUACUUUAGUGUUUUCAGCACCAGAUUAUGCAGGUACUAUUUGUUUAUUACUUAGAAAAAGAUAACACAGUUCUUUAAUCCAUAAAUAUCAGACAGGUUCCUGAUUUUUUUUUUGUGUGCUCUCUUUCAACAGCACCCAGCAAAGUGCAAUUACUUUAUUUAUCCUUGAAAGACGGAGGAGUAAAAUGACCUUUUUGUGAUUUAAACCCAUGGUUCCAAAGAGUCUAGUCAUUUCAAACCUGAGAAUUAAGCAGUUGCUCUGGAAUGAACUUGAGAGAGAUAUUAUCACAAACUCUUUCCUUUUUUUUUUUUUGUUGCUUGCACAGAACACAUGCUACAAGCAAAAGUAGAUAAGCUCUUUAAAUUCCAACUGCGUCCUUCCAUAACUGAAUAGUACUAUUGGUAACUUCUGUAUGGACCAUAACAGUGUUAUCAGGAGCAGGAAACACUAACUGAAUGCAAUAGGUGCACACUUUUUUUCCUUUUCAAUUAUUGGAUGGAAACUUACUUGGUGAUAUUGUUUCUAACACCUUAACUUAGCUAGAAAUAAAUUCCUUAGAAGGACAUUCUUAGCCUCAUUUCUAAAAUUUCCUGUUAGUACUGAAAGACAUAGCAACCAAAACUUCAUGUUUAGAGUGUUGCUCAGAAGUUGUUAGAUUCUUUCUACCCUUUGUGGAAAUCAAGAUAAAUUUUAUCUCAUAGAGACUGUCAGCAUAUCUGACCUUCAUAUUAUCAUAUGCUCAUUAGACCUUUGUGUCUAUGGGAUUGUCCAGGUAGGAAAACAAAUAAUAGAAAUAUAAUUGACAUGCCCAUUUGUUGAUGGAAGAGUUGCUGUUGCUUUCAGUGGGCAUUUACUCUGAAUAAAGACUUAAGGAUUUGGUUCUUGUUUUGUUAACUGUUGUUGGAAAAGUGAAAUGUAUCAUAUAAAAGUAUAGUCUUAUUCAUUUUUACAUGAAUACCAGUGGUAGUUUGUUUAUAAAACUUCUAAAUCCAAGCCUCGUAAUCCCAUGAUACUUUCUACUACGUAUUAUGAAGGGGAAUAAGAUAGAAUUGAAAAGACCUCAUCUGUCAUUUGCCCUGCAUGCAGGCUAAACCCUGCAGAGGAUAAAAUAUAGGCAGUAGGAUUACUCAGGUGUGUCAUGGCUCUUAGUAUUGAUGUUAAUUUUGUGUAUGGUGGAGGCUUGGGGUUGGAUGGCUGGCUGCUGACUUUGGAUCUUUUGAGUAAGAAGAAUAUUUCUAGAUUGCGUGACUAGGUGCAACUAUCCAUGCACACAAAUGCACAUCCUUUGUGUGCUUCUAAAAGUUUUACCUUGAGUAAAGAAUCUGGCUCAAGCCAGAUUUAGAAAGUUGGUGUUAAACCCCUAAAAUUGAACCCAGCCCUUAUUACUGCCAUCCAAUGACCUGGCAGAAGGGUUUUACACUAUGUAAAACAUGUAUCAGUAAAAUAUAUAUGUCAGUAGAAAAGUUUGGUUGUCAGUAACUCUAAAAAUAUAAAUUAAUAUGUCUUCUGUAGCCCCUUCUUCCUUGGUUACCAACUACCUGUAAAUCUGUGAACAAUCUGUUAAAAAUAAGCCUGAAAACACUUGUCCAUAUAAUGCAUUAAAUAUUGUGUUGUCCAUAAUAACAGCAACAACAACAAUGAUGAUGACAAAAUUGUGAGCUUGAUUGAAUAUCCCUCAUUGGAAUAAGGCUGGAUGCAAGUGCUGAUGGACAGACAAAACAGAGAAGUACUACCUUAUGUCUGAGCAGUAGCACAGCUCGACACCCUGGAGCUCUCCACCAAGGCUUUGGGGCCCAUGGGAGCCUCCAUAGCAAAUUUCCCCCUCACACAGCCAUGUGCUGCUGCUGCAUCCCAAAAGCUAUCACCUGCCCAUAACAGCUGCUUGCCUCAAAGAUUGGCAGAGCCAUGCAGCCCCAGGCAAUCUGAGGCACCAGGUAGAAUGGGGGUGUGUUAUGCAAGGGUUGACAGUGUAUGUCUCAACAUACAACCACAAAACAGAAGGAUUCUGAGUAUGGUAAAAAUAAUUCUUAGAUGUAUAUAUUUUUGUACUUUAUAUUUCCUUGAUACAAUCCUUAUGUUAUGUAGGUUCAGUUGUAGUUAUGUUCUACUAUGGUUACUGUGUAUUCCUUCUUUGCAUACCCACUUUAGUAUGUCUGUUUUAGUGUUAGUGGGGAUUGGUCUUACUUCUGGUGGGGGGGGGGCGGUCACUUUGACUGACAUAGGUGGUAAACCCCCUUCCCCCUAGAUGGCAAUGCUGGGUGAGCCUUCUUUUUCAACAGACCCAGCUAGGUGGUAGCUCCCCUGGGUUGGCUUGCUAUAGAGACUGAGAUUAUUAACUACUUGAGUUUCACAUAAUAUUUAAUUAGCUAAAGUUUUCUUUGAUGUUGUACAUAUAUACCUUUUUCCCCAGUAAUGAGCCCAAUUUUAGUUGAACAUGGUUUGUGACUCAGGAAACUUUGUUCAUGUUACAACGCACAGUUACAUUUGUUUUCCUAGGUUUAUGGGAGGAGACUCCAUCUACAUUUAGAAAGUUGGUGUUAAAUUUUUCAGUUUGAACCCAGUCCUUGUUACUGUUGUCCAAGGGCCUGUUAGAGUUACAUUUACAUUAAAAAAAACCAUAUCAGUAGAAAAGUUUGGUUGUUAGUAAGAAGUUUGCAGAUUGUCAAUGAAUUUUUUUUUCUUAGGUUGGCAACACUGUUUCCUCCCACACAUAUAUAAUCUCUUUCUAUGGGAUUUUCUCCCAGUGGGCUAUAAAAGUAAACAGAUCAUGUAGAAAAGUCUAAAUGUUUGCAAAGUAACAUUUCAUAGGCUGUCUCUUUUUCAUUGAAAACAUAUGUAUGUGUAAAUAAGAAAUUUUUUACCCUCAUUUCAACAAAUAGUCUUGAAUAGUAAAUUUAGAGGAGUAACCAGUACACCUUUCUGAAAAAUAGAGACUUCUGACACCGGUAUUGAAUGUGGGUAUAAAACUAAAGAUGAUAUUCAUAGCUAUAUAGAGUUGUUUGAACAGAAUGGAAAAAUGGCUGCAUAAUUUGUCUAAUAAUGCAUAUACAUUGUUUUGUACUGAUGGGCUUUUGGUUAGUUACUGGAAUUGCAUAAAAUUCUCGGCUGCUUUAAAUUUAAUGAUUGAAAAAAAAAAUGUCUUCCUGCCCUUUAAAUGCACAGCUUUCAGAAGGGUUACAAUAAAUCUCUUAAUCUCCCCUAGCAUUUAUUUUCCUCUAGAUUGUUCACAGGCAUUAAUCCACAGGGCAUUCUUGCCCAAUCUGUAUUUAAAUCCAAGAAUGAAUAUCUGAGCUUUGAGCUAUCUGCUUUCAUGCACUCCUAAUGGGAUCCACCACAAGAACUCCGGAUGAAUCAGGGGAAAAAAAUCCAAUCCCAGAUGGUCGCGGUGCAGGCAGGAGAAAACUUCGCUUAAGUUGCAGUUACAAAACUCGUACGAACAAGACCCGUAGAAAAACUCGAGCCUCUUGAAAUAACUCGGAAAGAGCUCUGGAUACACACACGAAGUUUGCUAGGCUCCGUGGAACGAAAGCACGCAGGGAAGGGUUCGUCGAGGGAUUAGGCGGCGACGGGGAGAGGUUAGAGGUUGAUCAGGCCCCUAUAUUCUUCUUAAGGCACACGCUGGGUUUGUUAGGCUCCGCAGCGCUUGGAGUUCUUCACAAGAUGUGAAAUCCUCCUUCUCCUCCUCCAGAUGGUUGUGGAGUCCUCCCUUGCGGGGUUCUCCUUGGAGUUCUCCAACUUGGGCGGAAACCGCUCAAGCCUCUUAUACGGCUAGCAAGCCAAUCGCUAGCCGCCACGUGGGAAUAAUUUAGAAACAGCCAAUAGUGGGGAACAAAUAUGCAUGCGGGUGGCAGGAACUCCUUUGCACCGGGGUUUUCUCUUUGCAACUGAGAAUUGCACCGUGCAAAGAAAGCUCCUCGUGGCGGGAAAUAAUUCUGCAGUGCCGAAGCACACACAAAAUCAUACCCUUGGGUUAUGCCAAUACGAAGUUAUAAGUAGUCAUAGAUAAACUAAGUUCUUGUAUGCCAUUAUUGUGACAAGCCCUUUUUUAUAUUGUAAUUAGUGUUCAGGUAUUUUUGUAUCGAUUUUUACUGUUUUAUAUUGUAUUCCUAUUAUGUUUAUAUUGGUUUUUAUUGUUUUACAUUGAUAUUGUAUGAUUUAGGCCUGUUCCUGUAAGUUAACCAAAGUAAUGUCAACCCUCCAUCUUGUAAUGUUAAGUUUCCAUCUUGUAAUGUCAAGUCUCCAUUUUGUGUCCCCCACCUGGGCAUACCCUGUUGUAAUUGUGUUGCAACUAUGACUUAUACCUACACCUCCUAUGUAAAUUGGUUCCUGGGUGAAUGGGGAUGAAUGAGGGUGUUUGAGACAUAAUGGUAACAGGCCUAAAAAUACCUCCUGCUCAAUGACUGGACCAUCAAUUCAACAACUGGACUAUCAGCUUAACGACUGGACCACCGCUUUGCAUUGACUCUCCCUGAAACCACAGACCUACUCUGAGGAACCAAUAUUUGAAAGAUAAAGACCUUCAGGAAACCAGCAACAUAGAAACAAAGAACAGAAUAGAAACAAGAAACUCCACCAUUGUAUCCCACUGGACAAUGAGGACACCUGGAACUGCAUGUCCUCAUCUGAACAGCAUUGGCCCUUGCCUGGCCAUGUCCUACCCAUUGGAGUCGCAGGUAGCCCACCCCUAUAAAAGGGGUGGUUGAGUGUGACCUCCUUAAGAUGUCCUCUCCAUCUUCCCUCCAAGCAAGGGACCUGAGUUCUAUUUCUAUCCACCUUGACUCCAAUUCCUCUACUAAGCCCUUUUCCUCCUGCUACCAUUGUAUGAGUGUGUGUGGGAACCAAUAACUUCAUAGUCUGUAUAUUGUGUUGCCUGUCUAAUAAAACUGAUAUUUUUGGACCCCAA
Alligator mississippiensis (American alligator) is the source of this 5281-nucleotide long non-coding RNA. RefSeq lists it as uncharacterized. NCBI's taxonomy places the organism in Eukaryota, Metazoa, Chordata, Crocodylia, Alligatoridae. The record is from RefSeq and is a predicted model, not a curated record. The transcript is spliced from 2 exons.